CAGCAGCCGCGGUAAUACGGAGGGUGCAAGCGUUAAUCGGAAUUACUGGGCGUAAAGCGCACGCAGGCGGUCUGUCAAGCCAGAUGUGAAAUCCCCGGGCUUAACCUGGGAACUGCAUUUGAAACUGGCAGGCUAGAGUCUUGUAGAGGGGGGUAGAAUUCCAGGUGUAGCGGUGAAAUGCGUAGAGAUCUGGAGGAAUACCGGUGGCGAAGGCGGCCCCCUGGACGAAGACUGACGCUCAGGUACGAAAGCGUGGGGAGCAAACAGGAUUAGAUACCCCGGUAGUCCCUGUCUCUUAUAC
RNAcentral lists this ribosomal RNA (301 nucleotides) under uncultured bacterium. Its description in RNAcentral is "partial 16S ribosomal RNA". It matches the Rfam family "Bacterial small subunit ribosomal RNA", at positions 509 to 807 of the family's 1533-position model. The record is from RNAcentral.